GUACUGAUGAAGAGUCCCAAAGUAGGACGAAACAGCUGGCUGUCCAGUAC
Trichobilharzia regenti is the source of this 50-nucleotide non-coding RNA. NCBI's taxonomy places the organism in Eukaryota, Metazoa, Platyhelminthes, Trematoda, Strigeidida, Schistosomatidae. The record is from Rfam.